AAUAGGAUAAAUUUCUUUUUAAAUUUUACCUGUCAAUUAUCUUUGAAAAUACGUAAUACACUAUAAAUGAAUGAGCCUGAUAAAAAAGAAACAUGUGGCUAUACAACAACUUAGAAAAAGCUUUACCAUACAGUACGGAAGCUUCUGGAAAAUCAAUAACUUACACAACAAGUACUAGAUGGUGUUCAAAACGGUGCGACAUUGUCUCCAUAGAAGUUACAACGCUUAAGUUACAAGCAGCUUUGCCUAAACACUAUCUUUAUCCCAAAUUUCAAGUUUCUAGGGCUGCUAGAAGUACCG
This 300-nucleotide long non-coding RNA is filed under the name Androctonus crassicauda. The record is from RNAcentral. Lineage: Eukaryota; Metazoa; Arthropoda; Arachnida; Scorpiones; Buthidae.